This 237-nucleotide ribosomal RNA is filed under the name uncultured Staphylococcus sp. Its description in RNAcentral is "partial 16S ribosomal RNA". It matches the Rfam family "Bacterial small subunit ribosomal RNA", at positions 103 to 334 of the family's 1533-position model. The record is from RNAcentral. Lineage: Bacteria; Bacillati; Bacillota; Bacilli; Caryophanales; Staphylococcaceae.
CGGGUGAGUAACACGUGGAUAACCUACCUAUAAGACUGGGAUAACUUCGGGAAACCGGAGCUAAUACCGGAUAAUAUUUUGAACCGCAUGGUUCAAAAGUGAAAGACGGUCUUGCUGUCACUUAUAGAUGGAUCCGCGCUGCAUUAGCUAGUUGGUAAGGUAACGGCUUACCAAGGCAACGAUGCAUAGCCGACCUGAGAGGGUGGUCGGCCACACUGGAACUGAGACACGGUCCAG